ACUUACGGCCAUACCAUCCUGAAUACGCCCGAUCUCGUCUGAUCUCGGUAGCUAAGCAGGGUCGGGCCUGGUUAGUACUUGGAUGGGAGACCGCCGGGAAUAACAGUUGCUGUAAGUG
This 118-nucleotide ribosomal RNA is filed under the name Hucho hucho (huchen). The record is from RNAcentral. Lineage: Eukaryota; Metazoa; Chordata; Actinopteri; Salmoniformes; Salmonidae.